UACGUAGGUGGCAAGCGUUGUUCGGAAUUACUGGGCGUAAAGGGCUCGUAGGCGGCCAACUAAGUCGGAUGUGAAAUCCCCAGGCUUAACCUGGGAACUGCAUCCGAUACUGGAUGGCUUGAAUCCGGGAGAGGGAUGCAGAAUUCCAGGUGUAGCGGUGAAAUGCGUAGAUAUCUGGAGGAAUACCGGUGGCGAAGGCGGCAUCCUGGACCGGCAUUGACGCUGAUGAGCGAAAGCUAGGGGAGCAAACGGG
Molecule: ribosomal RNA, 253 nt
Filed under: uncultured bacterium
Lineage: Bacteria
Description: partial 16S ribosomal RNA
Rfam family: Bacterial small subunit ribosomal RNA
Source: RNAcentral